GAUGAACGCUGGCGGCGUGCUUAACACAUGCAAGUCGAACGAUGAAGCCCAGCUUGCUGGGUGGAUUAGUGGCGAACGGGUGAGUAACACGUGAGUAACCUGCCCUUAACUCUGGGAUAAGCCUGGGAAACUGGGUCUAAUACCGGAUAGGAGCGUCCACCGCAUGGUGGGUGUUGGAAAGAUUUAUCGGUUUUGGAUGGACUCGCGGCCUAUCAGCUUGUUGGUGAGGUAGUGGCUCACCAAGGCGACGACGGGUAGCCGGCCUGAGAGGGUGACCGGCCACACUGGGACUGAGACACGGCCCAGACUCCUACGGGAAGCAGCAGUGGGGAAUAUUGCACAAUGGGCGCAAGCCUGAUGCAGCGACGCCGCGUGAGGGAUGACGGCCUUCGGGUUGUAAACCUCUUUCAGUAGGGAAGAAGCGAAAGUGACGGUACCUGCAGAAGAAGCACCGGCUAACUACGUG
RNAcentral lists this ribosomal RNA (466 nucleotides) under uncultured bacterium. Its description in RNAcentral is "partial 16S ribosomal RNA". It matches the Rfam family "Bacterial small subunit ribosomal RNA", at positions 28 to 507 of the family's 1533-position model. The record is from RNAcentral.